This 466-nucleotide ribosomal RNA is filed under the name uncultured bacterium. RNAcentral's name for it is "bacterial SSU rRNA". It matches the Rfam family "Bacterial small subunit ribosomal RNA", at positions 30 to 487 of the family's 1533-position model. The record is from RNAcentral.
AUUGAACGCUGGCGGCAUGCCUUACACAUGCAAGUCGAACGGCAGCACGGGAGCAAUCCUGGUGGCGAGUGGCGAACGGGUGAGUAAUAUAUCGGAACGUGCCCAGUCGUGGGGGAUAACGUAGCGAAAGCUACGCUAAUACCGCAUACGAUCUAUGGAUGAAAGCGGGGGAUCGCAAGACCUCGCGCGAUUGGAGCGGCCGAUAUCAGAUUAGGUAGUUGGUGAGGUAAAGGCUCACCAAGCCGACGAUCUGUAGCUGGUCUGAGAGGACGACCAGCCACACUGGGACUGAGACACGGCCCAGACUCCUACGGGAGGCAGCAGUGGGGGAAUUUUUGGGACAAUGGACGCAAGUCUGAUCCAGCCAUUCCGCGUGCAGGAUGAAGGCCCUCGGGUUGUAAACUGCUUUUGUACGGAACGAAAGGUUUCUAUUAAUACUAGGAGCUCAUGACGGUACCGUAAGAAU